AUCGAAUCUGCAAAUUAAACAUGAUCUAUUGGACCAUAAACAUCAAGUAAAUUAUUCUUGAAUAAUAAUCGCAUGCUUAUAAAUUAGUAGCACUGUUGGAAUCAAGAAUUUUAUUUGCAGCCAUGUUAAAGCCAAAUUUGUUGAAUUGAUCUUUGGCACAACCCUCAGAAUUAAAAACAUAGUUACACAGUGGAUCCAAAUAAGGAAGCAUGCAUACUUGAUAUUAAUACGAACUAGUCUAAUGUUGUUACCUUGCUUUGACCCAUCGUCAAUUGAACUCGAGUCUGCAAAAGUUUUCUUCUAAUUUUGUUGUGAUCCAUCGGGUUCCGCCCAUAGCUCCUAGCAAUUCUGUUAGGGUUUUUUUGUUGCAGUCCUUUC
This 378-nucleotide long non-coding RNA is filed under the name Musa acuminata (dwarf banana). RNAcentral describes it as "long non-coding RNA (MACU_LNC007117)". Lineage: Eukaryota; Viridiplantae; Streptophyta; Magnoliopsida; Zingiberales; Musaceae. The record is from RNAcentral.